This 433-nucleotide ribosomal RNA is filed under the name uncultured bacterium. RNAcentral describes it as "partial 16S ribosomal RNA". It matches the Rfam family "Bacterial small subunit ribosomal RNA", at positions 29 to 507 of the family's 1533-position model. The record is from RNAcentral.
AACGAACGCUGGCGGCAUGCCUAACACAUGCAAGUCGAACGAGACCUUCUGGUCUCGUGGCGCACGGGUGCGUAACGCGUGGGAACCUGCCCUUAGGUUCGGAAUAACUCCCCGCAAGUGGUGCUAAUACCGGAUAAUGUCUUCGGACCAAAGAUUUAUCGCCUUUGGAUGAGCCCGCGUUGGAUUAGCUAGUUGGUAGGGUAACAGCCUACCAAGGCGACGAUCCAUAGCUGGUCUGAGAGAAUGAUCAGCAACACUGGGACUGAGAAACGGCCCAGAAUCCUACGGGAGGCAGCAGAGGGGGAUAGAGGACAAUGGGCGGAAGGAUGAAGGAGCAAUGAUGCGUGAGUGAUGAAGGCAUUAGAGUUGUAAAGCUAGUUUAACCGGGAAGAUAAUGACAGUACCGAGAGAAUAAGCUACGGCUAACUCCGUG